This 246-nucleotide ribosomal RNA is filed under the name uncultured bacterium. Its description in RNAcentral is "partial 16S ribosomal RNA". It matches the Rfam family "Bacterial small subunit ribosomal RNA", at positions 524 to 770 of the family's 1533-position model. The record is from RNAcentral.
GACAGAGGAUGCAAGCGUUAUCCGGAAUGAUUGGGCGUAAAGCGUGCGCAGGCGGUGAUGUAAGACAGUUGUGAAAUCCCCGGGCUCAACCUGGGAACUGCAUCUGUGACUGCAUCGCUGGAGUGCGGCAGAGGGGGAUGGAAUUCCGCGUGUAGCAGUGAAAUGCGUAGAUAUGCGGAGGAACACCGAUGGCGAAGGCAACUCCCCUGGGCCUGCACUGACGCUCAUGCACGAAGCGUGGGAGCA